RNAcentral lists this microRNA precursor (79 nucleotides) under Cricetulus griseus (Chinese hamster). RNAcentral's name for it is "miRNA (ENSCGRG00001004208.1)". The record is from RNAcentral. Lineage: Eukaryota; Metazoa; Chordata; Mammalia; Rodentia; Cricetidae.
CUCUGCUUCCCAACUCACAAAACUGGGCGUGGCAUAUGAGCCUGUAGUCCCAGCCCUGGGGAGGCAGAUGCAGGAGGAU